GAUUUUUCGUCAUUCUGCUCUCUACAUAGAGAAGGGAAGCCCACCCUCAAGAACCCCUAAGCUCACGGGUACGGGCACAGCGUGCAUCCGGCCAGGCACUGGGACGAUGGGAGACCUGACUCCUACACUGCAGGAAUUGGUGCCAUCUGGGGGAAGAGCAUUCCUUUGGAGCCUCAAGAGUAGCGUGAUGAGAGAGAGAACCGUGAAAAUUCACAAGACUCACGCUUCAUACCCAGACGUGGUGCAGAUGUGAUGCGACACGGAAUGUUCAGCACAGCCACGUAACCGGAAACAGAAAUGCAUUUUCAUCUUUGUAAGAAAAUAUUUGAUUUUUGAUAUCUACUGAACGCAGAACCAUCUUGUAUCUCUUUUCUAUCUUUUUAUUUUUGUUGCUUGGUGCCAUAGAGAACUAGCUGGUUAAACAGAACAUAAAGUUUCCACUCCCUAAAAGCUUCAGCAAUUUUGGAAGAGAUUAAGCAAAACAGCUUGAAAAAACCAAAACAUGACUCUACCCAGCCUUGGUGGAACAAAUCACCCCGGCUUUCAACUACCUGUCUCGCCUUCCCAGAAUCUCACCUUGCUGUGAAAGCUAAAUAAAUUCAGCUGUAAUCAUCCCAUUAA
Molecule: long non-coding RNA, 621 nt
Organism: Chinchilla lanigera (long-tailed chinchilla)
Lineage: Eukaryota; Metazoa; Chordata; Mammalia; Rodentia; Chinchillidae
Exons: 2
Source: RefSeq, a predicted model, not a curated record